CGAUUUCUAGUUGACUCCUCGCGAACGCAUCGGGUACGCAGCAGCAGACGAGGCAUACGGUUCCCCGAGCACAUACACCUCGCACACGCGGGGAAGAAGAGGACAGCAGGAAUCUCCGGUGACUAAAAUAAGGUAUCUAGUCUAAGCCAUGCAGGCAUGCGUCUACCGGAACGAAGGAGAAGAACCUACUAACCUUGGUUGGCUUGAUGCACAUUCCAUUAGUUUAAUGCAUGAUGCCAUGGCACUCGUGUACCUUGCCACGAACCACUACAGAAUGGUUUCUCCAUGCGUUGAGCUGCCUUGUGCUGUUUCAUUGAUGGGGCCAUCUGAGGUUUUUGGACGCCACCUCUUCCCAAAAGUCAUUACAGCUUUGUUCCCCACCUCCUCGGGAACUCGGAUCGCCAACCCAAGAAAUGCCGUCUCACCCUCCGACUGACAUCUUUGCUUUGUCUCCACAUCCAUCUCUCUCACUACCGUUUCUCCAUUUCUUUAUGAUGUUUCCUUCCUUCUUCGUCGCCGACGGAAAACCCAAAUGCACACACAGUCGUAGAACUCGUGGGCAGUGAGCGACAAGAAACGCCGCACGUGGAUCCGAAACCACAGGCGCAUAUGAUCGCUCCGGGAAUCCACCGCCGGUACAAGUGGCAAGGAGACAUCAGGAAUCUCGACCCAACAGAGAAGAAAGAACCUCGCCAUUUGUUUUGUCUGAUCUCUGUCGAUUGUAUACUAAAUCAAAUAGAAUUGCCAAAUCAUCACUAACCAAUUAUGAUAUGAUUCCUAAAACAAAAAAUCAAACAUGAGAUGUUGCUUGCAAGAAUUUUGUUCUACCAUUAUUAUGAUUUAAACAUCUACAAGAUGGUUCAUAAAGUAAAUUAUAUAUUUAUUAUUUCAUUUACUGUACGUGGAGACUCACAAAAGAUCGACACGAGCCUACAACAAAUGGAUAACAAAAGAGGCAGAGACAGAUGGGAUCCGUGGUCCUGCUUUUAUGCGUUGCCAUGCUUCCAGAUCUCGAUUUGCAUUGUUGACAUGGUUGGAUCUUGCUGUUCUGCCAUUUAUUAUCUCUCCUCCAUCCCCGUCCUCCUCCUCCUAACUCAUUCUUCAUUUAUGCAGACAAGCUUUGGCCAUCUUAAGAUAAAAUCCAGUAAUUUGCGAUGCUCAUAAGUUACACGAUCUUUAUCUAGUUUAAGUUAAACACGAGAUCAACUACAAUUGAGCAUGGAUUAGAUUAGACCUUGGUUUAUUAGCUGAUACCCUUAGCUACUCCUCACCCCCUCCAACCUGUAAUGACUUAGAUCAGACUGCUAAACUAUGCGUUUUAUUAGUAGAGACCACGAGAUAAUGUUGGGUCGCCACGUGUUCCGUCCCACGUCUGUUCCCUCUCCGCGCAGAACGGCGAGUGGAGUCCUGAGCGCCAGCCCAUUCCGUGCUUCCUCUGUUCUUUAAUCCCAUCUCAUCUCCGACGCACUCCUUUCUCUACUUAUAAAUCCCGUUUCCUCUCCUCUCUCUCCACCGAUCAGCAGAAGAAGCCAAAGAUCAGACAGACAGUUAAGCAAGCAUACCCGAGAUUGGAAAGACGAGAUGAUCUCCGGAUUCCGCCGCUCCCUCUCUUUAUCGGGCCUGAGCCCUAACGCCAGCCCCGCCCGCCGGCGCCCCCGCGACGCGCCCCGACACGCGCGUUCCGCC
Molecule: long non-coding RNA, 1686 nt
Filed under: Musa acuminata (dwarf banana)
Lineage: Eukaryota; Viridiplantae; Streptophyta; Magnoliopsida; Zingiberales; Musaceae
Description: long non-coding RNA (MACU_LNC000714)
Source: RNAcentral